GAUGAACGCUGGCGGCGUGCCUAAUACAUGCAAGUCGAGCGAACGGACGAGAAGCUUGCUCCUCUGAUGUUAGCGGCGGACGGGUGAGUAACACGUGGAUAACCUACCUAUAAGACUGGGAUAACUUCGGGAAACCGGAGCUAAUACCGGAUGAUAUUUUGAACCGCAUGGUUCAAAAGUGAAAGACGGUCUUGCUGUCACUUAUAGAUGGAUCCGCGCUGCAUUAGCUAGUUGGUAAGGUAACGGCUUACCAAGGCAACGAUGCGUAGCCGACCUGAGAGGGUGAUCGGCCACACUGGAACUGAGACACGGUCCAGACUCCUACGGGAGGCAGCAGUAGGGAAUCUUCCGCAAUGGGCGAAAGCCUGACGGAGCAACGCCGCGUGAGUGAUGAAGGUCUUCGGAUCGUAAAACUCUGUUAUUAGGGAAGAACAUAUGUGUAAGUAACUGUGCACAUCUUGACGGUACCUAAUCAGAAAGCCACGGCUAACUACGUG
RNAcentral lists this ribosomal RNA (497 nucleotides) under uncultured bacterium. RNAcentral's name for it is "partial 16S ribosomal RNA". It matches the Rfam family "Bacterial small subunit ribosomal RNA", at positions 28 to 507 of the family's 1533-position model. The record is from RNAcentral.